Molecule: non-coding RNA, 75 nt
Organism: Triticum aestivum (bread wheat)
Lineage: Eukaryota; Viridiplantae; Streptophyta; Magnoliopsida; Poales; Poaceae
Source: Rfam
UAUGAAACCCAUUUGGGCGAGAGUAGUACUAGGAUGGGUGACCUCCUGGGAAGUCCUCGUGAAAGGGUUUCAUAU